RNAcentral lists this microRNA precursor (117 nucleotides) under Capsicum annuum. RNAcentral describes it as "mir-399 microRNA precursor family". It matches the Rfam family "mir-399 microRNA precursor family". From Rfam's summary of the family: mir-399 was identified in both Arabidopsis thaliana and Oryza sativa computationally and was later experimentally verified. mir-399 is thought to target mRNAs coding for a phosphatase transporter. The mature sequence is excised from the 3' arm of the hairpin. Lineage: Eukaryota; Viridiplantae; Streptophyta; Magnoliopsida; Solanales; Solanaceae. The record is from Rfam by way of RNAcentral.
GAACCAGUUGUAGGGCAGCUCUCCGUUUGGCAGAUACUUAUGAAGAUAUAUUACAUUUUGUGAUGUGACAAAAUUCACUUAAUAUCUGCCAAAGGAGAGUUGCCCUGUGAUUGUUUC